RNAcentral lists this ribosomal RNA (253 nucleotides) under uncultured bacterium. Its description in RNAcentral is "partial 16S ribosomal RNA". It matches the Rfam family "Bacterial small subunit ribosomal RNA", at positions 524 to 776 of the family's 1533-position model. The record is from RNAcentral.
UACGGAGGGUGCGAGCGUUGUCCGGAAUUACUGGGCGUAAAGGGCGCGUAGGCGGCCUCGUCCGUCCGGCGUGAAAUGCCUGGGCUUAACCUAGGAAUUGCGCUCGAUACAGCGAGGCUAGAGUGUGGGAGAGGUUGGUGGAAUUCCCAGUGUAGAGGUGAAAUUCGUAGAUAUUGGGAAGAACACCGGUGGCGAAGGCGGUGGUCUGGGCCGGUACUGACGCUGAGGAGCGAAAGCGUGGGGAGCGAACAGG